This 47-nucleotide transfer RNA is filed under the name Bromus inermis (smooth brome grass). RNAcentral describes it as "partial tRNA-Arg". It matches the Rfam family "tRNA", at positions 25 to 71 of the family's 71-position model. Rfam says of the family: Transfer RNA (tRNA) molecules are approximately 80 nucleotides in length. Their secondary structure includes four short double-helical elements and three loops (D, anti-codon, and T loops). The record is from RNAcentral. Lineage: Eukaryota; Viridiplantae; Streptophyta; Magnoliopsida; Poales; Poaceae.
AGAGGUCUUCUAAACCUUUGGUAUAGGUUCAAAUCCUAUUGGACGCA